Dromiciops gliroides (monito del monte) is the source of this 1979-nucleotide long non-coding RNA. RefSeq lists it as uncharacterized. The record is from RefSeq and is a predicted model, not a curated record. The transcript is spliced from 2 exons. Lineage: Eukaryota; Metazoa; Chordata; Mammalia; Microbiotheria; Microbiotheriidae.
CUUUUGGUAUAUGACCAGAAGGGGGAUCUCUGAGUCAAAGGGUUAUUAUUCUUUUUUAAUCUAUUUUUAAAAAAAAUUUGCAAAAUAGCAAAGUAACAAUGGACAAAUAGUAGGGCCAAAGGGUUGUGCUUAGCCCCCACAGGUAAAUGAGUACAGCUCCUUUCAGGUUCCCAAGGGGAUUAUACCAUAAUACUAUGACCGAACUCAGGUACCUAGGAAGAGAUAACCAUGUCAAUAAGAAUAGCCCACAAAGUCAUCGGUCAAAGCUAGAUUUCAGCAUUAGUGUGGAAGCCUGAAACCCUUCCCCGUGGAGUUUGACCUCCUGGGUUCCUGGCUCCUGAAUAGAGGCUAGAGGUCGAGUAGCUCUCAGUCAGGAGACCACGUUUCCCAACAUCAGAUGAUCCACACUCUGGCUCUGUCUGCCCUUGAUGGCUUAAGGCCAUCUAAGGCCACCCUGGACACGAGACUCAAUUGCCUUCCCCCAAGGGCUACUCCCUGGACACUUCCGAAUCAGCGUAAUCACAGUCCUGCCUUCUCAGUGUUGUCUUGAGGCGAAUAUGAGAACAGGGCCAGGAUAAAAGGAUGAAGAGGGACGACAGCAUCUCACAGAGACAGACACAGCGUCAAUGACAACAUUUAUUCCUUCCACCCUUCAGUAAAAAGGUACAAAAGUGGGGCUAGGCGGUGGUGGGGGUGGAUAUCAGGAAGGCACCUUAGGGGGUCCCCAACCCAAUCAGGUCCUUUUGCUGAGCUCCUGGGGGCUGAGCUGCCUUGAGGAUGAGAGCCAACCACACCCAGGCCUGGAGGAGAGACUGAAUGCAUGCUGUAGACAGAGGGAAGGGGCAUCAGCCCAAACACUGAGGAGAGUCUGGCAGGUGAGGUUCAGGUCUGAGCUGAGCCAGCCUCAUUCCUUGGCUUCCUUUUCUUGCUAUCUGAUGGCUCUCAGCCCAGAGAACCCAUCAACGCUUGUGCUUGUUUGAGUUCUGAAAGACACAGAGAUACGGAUUGGGAGAAAGGGAAGGAGCUGGGAAGAAGAGAAGGGAUGCUGGGCACCAGAGGACAGAGCAAUGGGAGGAGGUUGAAAAGAGGCAAAUUGUAUAUAUGGCUGAUAUAAACUGUACCAAUUAGAGCUACUCAAAAGGAGAAUGAGCUAGCUCAGGAGGCAGUAAGUCCCCCUUCACUGAAGGUCUAAAGCAAAGGGUGGAUGGCUACUUGAUGGGUAUCCUGUGGAGGGAAUCCGCAUAGUACAAUGAAAAAAGCUCCGGCUCUUCAAGUCCCAUCUCUGAUGCUUACUACCUGUGAGACUUCCAGCAAAUCAUUCAACCUUCCUGGGUCUCAGUUUUUUCACCUAUAAAAUGAGGAGGCCGUGUGAGAUGGUCUCCGAGGGCUCUUCUGGAUCCCAUGAGUUCUUGUUCAGGUAUGGAUGGGACUAGACAAUCUUUGGAACCCUAUGAUUUCCCAAGUGUCUCCCAUCUCCUUCCCCCUUACCUGCCAACAGAACUUGGAACUUCUUCACCGACAGUGUCAUGGCGAUGGGCUCUGCUGGACCAACUGCGUCACGCCGAAUAUCCAGCCUCAGGUGCACCUCUGGCUCAUGAACGUGGCAGAGCUGGCUGGAACUCACUGUGUAGUCCACGCGCCAGCCAACACCAUCCAGUCUGCUCACUGUGGGGAAGGAGGCAGAGCUUCAAGACCCCAUUUGUCACCAAGAACCACCAGGAUUCCCCACAGCUGCCAAUAAUUCACUAAGACUUGAAAAAGUCACUUAAGUUAUCUGGACAAAUGGGGACAAAAAUUCAUUAAACAACCCAUUAUUAAGCACCUACUAUAUACAAGGUACUAUACUAGGAUCUGGGAAUACAAAGACAAAAAUGAAAGUCUCUGUCCUCAGGAAGUAUACAUUCCACUGGAUACUAGUUCCUGUCUGCUAACCCUGCAGGGCAGCUAUGAGGAUUAAAUGAAGUUCUGGGUCUGAAAGA